UCAGACGAUGCGUCAUGCAUAUCAAUAAGCGGAGGAAAAGAAACUAACAAGGAUUCCCCUAGUAACGGCGAGUGAAGCGGGAAGAGCUCAAAUUUGAAAUCUUAAAGGGUUUCCCUUUACGAAUUGUAGUUUAAAGAAGUGUUUUCUGUUGAGGUUUUGGUAAAGUUCUUUGGAAUAGGACAUCAUAGAGGGUGAGAAUCCCGUAUUUGACCUUUACUUUCAACUUUGUGAUACACUUUCAAAGAGUCGGAUUGUUUGGGAAUGCAGUCCAAAAUGGGUGGUAAAUUUCAUCUAAAGCUAAAUAUUGGCGAGAGACCGAUAGCGAACAAGUACCGUGAGGGAAAGAUGAAAAGAACUUUGAAAAGAGAGUUAAACAGUACGUGAAAUUGUCAAAAGGGAAGCGUUUGACACCAGUGUUGUUUUUCUGAAAAUCAAUUAAAGAACUGUUUAUGCUAAGUUGUUUAGACUUUAUCAGCUAACUGUUUAGUUUUGAGCUUUUCUUCAAUGCACUUUUCAGUUAACAAGUCAACAUCAAUUUCUUUUGCUGUAAAAAAGCUUGAGGAAGGUGGCUUGAGAUUCGUCUUAAGUGUUUAUAGCCUCUUGCCUAUGCAGUCGGAGAGAUUGAGGUCUGCAGCGUAGAUCCUUCGGGGCUAAAUGCAUUUGUGCUAAGUUAUAGCAUUUUAUAGACAACUUGUUGACUAUGAUUUGCCUUGUAGCUUACUCGCUUAUGUUAUUUUACCUACGCUUAGGAUGUUGAGCGCAUGUCUCUCUCU
RNAcentral lists this ribosomal RNA (773 nucleotides) under uncultured Neocallimastigales. RNAcentral describes it as "partial large subunit ribosomal RNA". It matches the Rfam family "Eukaryotic large subunit ribosomal RNA", at positions 18 to 616 of the family's 3401-position model. The record is from RNAcentral. Lineage: Eukaryota; Fungi; Neocallimastigomycota; Neocallimastigomycetes; Neocallimastigales.